ACUCAAAUGAAUAGACGGGGGCCCGCACAAGCGGCGGAGCAUGUGGCUUAAUCCGAUGCAACGCGAAGAACCUUACCUGGGCUUGACAUGCGGGGUGAAGCCGUGGAAACACGGCGCUCCUUCGGGAGCCCGCACAGGUGCUGCAUGGCUGUCGUCAGCUCGUGCCGUGAGGUGUUGCCUUAAGUGGCGCAACGAGCGCAACCCCUGUCCCAUGUUGCCAGCGGGUCAUGCCGGGGACUCAUGGGAGACUGCCGGUGGCAAACCGGAGGAAGGUGGGGAUGAGGUCAAGUCGUCAUGGCCUUUAUGUCCAGGGCUGCACACAUGCUACAAUGCGUGGUACAAAGGGCUGCGAUCUCGCAAGGGUGAGCGAAUCCCAAAAAGCCGCGCUCAGUUCGGAUCGGGGUCUGCAACUCGACCCCGUGAAGUCGGAGUCGCUAGUAAUCGCAGAUCAGCAACGCUGCGGUGAAUACGUUCCCGGGCCUUGUACACACCGCCCGU
This 498-nucleotide ribosomal RNA is filed under the name uncultured bacterium. RNAcentral's name for it is "partial 16S ribosomal RNA". It matches the Rfam family "Bacterial small subunit ribosomal RNA", at positions 899 to 1397 of the family's 1533-position model. The record is from RNAcentral.